UGCAGUCGAGCGGAUGAAGGGAGCUUGCUCCUGGAUUCAGCGGCGGACGGGUGAGAAAUGCCUAGGAAUCUGCCUGGUAGUGGGGGACAACGUUUCGAAAGGAACGCUAAUACCGCAUACGUCCUACGGGAGAAAGCAGGGGACCUUCGGGCCUUGCGCUAUCAGAUGAGCCUAGGUCGGAUUAGCUAGUUGGUGAGGUAAUGGCUCACCAAGGCGACGAUCCGUAACUGGUCUGAGAGGAUGAUCAGUCACACUGGAACUGAGACACGGUCCAGACUCCUACGGGAGGCAGCAGUGGGGAAUAUUGGACAAUGGGCGAAAGCCUGAUCCAGCCAUGCCGCGUGUGUGAAGAAGGUCUUCGGAUUGUAAAGCACUUUAAGUUGGGAGGAAGGGUUGUAGAUUAAUACUCUGCAAUUUUGACGUUACCGACAGAAUAAGCACCGGCUAACUCUGUGCCAGCAGCCGCGGUAAUACAGAGGGUGCAAGCGUUAAUCGGAAUUACUGGGCGUAAAGCGCGCGUAGGUGGUUCGUUAAGUUGGAUGUGAAAUCCCCGGGCUCAACCUGGGAACUGCAUCCAAAACUGGCGAGCUAGAGUAUGGUAGAGGGUGGUGGAAUUUCCUGUGUAGCGGUGAAAUGCGUAGAUAUAGGAAGGAACACCAGUGGCGAAGGCGACCACCUGGACUGAUACUGACACUGAGGUGCGAAAGCGUGGGGAGCAAACAGGAUUAGAUACCCUGGUAGUCCACGCCGUAAACGAAUGUCAACUAGCCCUUUGGGAAGCCUUGAAGCUCUUAGUGGCGCAGCUAACGCAUUUAAGUUUGACCGCCCUGGGGG
RNAcentral lists this ribosomal RNA (834 nucleotides) under Pseudomonas sp. RNAcentral's name for it is "bacterial SSU rRNA". It matches the Rfam family "Bacterial small subunit ribosomal RNA", at positions 56 to 873 of the family's 1533-position model. The record is from RNAcentral. Lineage: Bacteria; Pseudomonadati; Pseudomonadota; Gammaproteobacteria; Pseudomonadales; Pseudomonadaceae.